Molecule: ribosomal RNA, 426 nt
Filed under: uncultured bacterium
Lineage: Bacteria
Description: bacterial SSU rRNA
Rfam family: Bacterial small subunit ribosomal RNA
Source: RNAcentral
UGGGGAAUUUUCCACAAUGGGCGAAAGCCUGAUGGAGCAACGCCGCGUGUGUGAUGAAGGUCUUCGGAUCGUAAAGCACUUUCGACCGGGACGAAAAACCUCUGGCUAACAUCCAGGGGCCUGACGGUACCGGGAGAAGAAGCACCGGCUAACUCUGUGCCAGCAGCCGCGGUAAUACAGAGGGUGCAAGCGUUGUUCGGAAUUAUUGGGCGUAAAGCGCGUGUAGGCGGCUUGGCAAGUCAGAUGUGAAAGCCCAUGGCUUAACCAUGGAAGUGCGUCUGAAACUGCUGAGCUUGAGUGCCGGAGAGGAUGGCGGAAUUCCGCAAGUAGAGGUGAAAUUCGUAGAUAUGCGGAGGAACACCGGUGGCGAAGGCGGCCAUCUGGACGGCAACUGACGCUGAGACGCGAAAGCGUGGGGAGCAAACA